Perognathus longimembris pacificus (Pacific pocket mouse) is the source of this 1134-nucleotide RNA transcript. It is a transcript of the gene named WW domain-binding protein 2-like, with no coding region annotated. The transcript has a single exon. NCBI's taxonomy places the organism in Eukaryota, Metazoa, Chordata, Mammalia, Rodentia, Heteromyidae. The record is from RefSeq and is a predicted model, not a curated record.
AUGGCGCUCAACAAGAAUCACUUGGAAGGCGGCGGAGUGAUUGUCAACAACACUUAGAGCAUCCUGAUGUCCUAUGACCACGUGGAACUAACAUUCAAUGAAUGACAUGAAGAACAUACCAGAGGCUUUCAAAGGGACCAAGAAAGGCACCAUCUACCUUACUCCUUACUGGAUCAUCUUUCUGUCCAAGGGGAAGGAUGCCAUGCAGCCCUUCAUGAUGCCGUUUUAUCUGACGAAGGACUGUGAGAUCAAGCAGCCUGUGUUUGGUGCAAACUACAUCAAGGGAAUGGUGAAGGCCGAAGCAGGAGGUGGCUGGGAAGGCUCCGCUUCCUACAAGUUGACCUUUACAACAGGGGGCGCCAUCGAGUUUGGACAGCGGACGCUUUAGAUGGCCUCUCAAGCUUCCCGAGGCGAAGCCCCCAAUGGAGCCUAUGGGUACCCUUACAUGCCCAGCGGGGCCUAUGUCCUUCCCCCACCAGUCGCCAAUGGAAUGUACCCCUGCCCUCCUGGCUACCCCUAUCCACCGCCCCCACCUGAGUUCUACCCAGGGCCUCCCAUGAUGGAUGGAGCCAGGGGCUACGUGCAGCCCCCGCCGCCGCCCUACCCCGGGCCCAUGGAGCUUCCGGUCAGCGGCCCUGAGGUCCCCUCCACCCCGGCAGCCGAGGCCAAGGCCGCGGAAGCAGCUGCCAGCGCCUAUUACAACCCCGGCAACCCACACAAUGUCUACAUGCCCACGAGCCAGCCUCCACCACCACCCUACUACCCCCCAGAAGAUAAGAAAACGCAGUAGACCCCACCUGCCUCCCUGCCUCUCCCCCUGGGGCGGGGCGGAAAGGGGGCGUAUGUAGGGUCUUGUUCUUCCCCCACCUAAUCAUAAACAGUUACCAGGAAUGAGUGAGGUGGGAAGGGCGUGGCCCCCUGAACUCUAGAGGCGCACCCCAGCUUCCCAGGCUAGCUCGGCCCCUAGUGCUGCUUCCCCCUCGCUGUCUCGGGGGCUCCCGGGAGCAAGCGCUGUCCCCCAGUUCCUCUUUCACUCUGAUAAUCACAGCUCCACUAGCGCCUUCCCACGGAGGGACUCUCUGGCCACCUCCUCCACUGCAGUCCAACCCCUGGUGCCUCCCAGGCGACACGCGG